GGAUUUCUGCUGAGGACACCGGUCCGCCCUCCGGGUGAGCAUCUGGUUCGGCCUUGGCAUCUUCUUGGUGAACGUAGCUGCACUCGACUGUGUGGUGCGGUACCCAGGACUUUUACUUUGAGGAAAUUAGAGUGUUUCAAGCAGGCAUACGCCUUGAAUACAUUAGCAUGGAAUAAUAAGAUAGGACCUCGGUUCUAUUUUGUUGGUUUCUAGAGCUGAGGUAAUGAUUAAUAGGGAUAGUUGG
RNAcentral lists this ribosomal RNA (244 nucleotides) under uncultured marine eukaryote. RNAcentral describes it as "partial 18S ribosomal RNA". The stretch from base 99 to 244 matches the Rfam family "Eukaryotic small subunit ribosomal RNA", at positions 738 to 885 of the family's 1831-position model. The record is from RNAcentral.